UACGUAGGGUGCAAGCGUUGUUCGGAAUUACUGGGCGUAAAGCGUGCGCAGGCGGUCUUUUAAGUCAGAUGUGAAAUCCCCGGGCUUAACCUGGGAACUGCGUUUGAAACUGGAAGGCUAGAGUGUGGCAGAGGGGGGUGGAAUUCCACGUGUAGCAGUGAAAUGCGUAGAUAUGUGGAGGAACACCGAUGGCGAAGGCAGCCACCUGGGCUAACACUGACGCUCAUGCACGAAAGCGUGGGGAGCAAACAGG
This 253-nucleotide ribosomal RNA is filed under the name uncultured bacterium. RNAcentral's name for it is "partial 16S ribosomal RNA". It matches the Rfam family "Bacterial small subunit ribosomal RNA", at positions 524 to 776 of the family's 1533-position model. The record is from RNAcentral.